This 119-nucleotide ribosomal RNA is filed under the name Danio rerio (zebrafish). Lineage: Eukaryota; Metazoa; Chordata; Actinopteri; Cypriniformes; Danionidae. The record is from RNAcentral.
GCUAGCCGGAAACUAGCUCUCUGGAGCUCUUACUUUUUCGCCCACUGAAGCUAAGCAGGGCUGAGCCUGAUUAGUUCCAGGAUGGUAAACCACAUGGGAAAAAUAUGUUGCUGUUGGAA